CAUCAACGUACCUACUGAAAAAUUUUUAACCGUCUUCAAAAACACAAAAUAAGAUUCUCUGUUUGACCUAUGUGUCGCUGGGUACUGGCAUACGAAGAACAAAUUUCCUUACAAAUCGUUAUCGGAAAUGGCGUCAAGUGAAGUUGUUUCGCUGGAAAACCCUUAUCUUGCAACAGAAGUAGCAGCAGCAGUAGCAGUAGCAGCUCGACAGUCGCCGCGUCGCGGGUCUCGAAUUGCUGCUCAUGAAUAUGAGCCUCUAGU
Molecule: long non-coding RNA, 261 nt
Organism: Spodoptera litura
Lineage: Eukaryota; Metazoa; Arthropoda; Insecta; Lepidoptera; Noctuidae
Source: RefSeq, a predicted model, not a curated record